Lolium perenne is the source of this 1876-nucleotide long non-coding RNA. RefSeq lists it as uncharacterized. Lineage: Eukaryota; Viridiplantae; Streptophyta; Magnoliopsida; Poales; Poaceae. The record is from RefSeq and is a predicted model, not a curated record.
UAGUUUUGGUCUCGCUAGGAUUUUCUGGAAAAUUCUCGUGUGCCUACACUCCUCCAGCGAUAGGAGGCGGCGAUGGAGAGGAUCCCGGCGGCCUCCUUCAUGGACUGGAGCAUCGACCUCGGCAGGAGCCUUCGCUCCCACCACCUAGCUAAAUCCUCUAGACCACCAACUCCCUUGUAUUCUCCCCUAAUGCCGGCCUCACCUCUAUCCACCCCUCCAAGAACGCACCACCAAGCCCUCUCGAUGCCGACGCCCCAAGAAUUCGCGAGCUGGCAUCUUGCCCUACCGUCCCGGCAUGGGUGGCCUCCGCAUCCAGCAUCAUGCCCGCCGAGUCCCGUGUCUUUGCCAAGACCAUGCUCUUCUGCCUCGCCGCGGAGUUCAGGGCCGCCGUCGACGACUCCAUCUGGACCUGCAUCAUCCGCUCCCUCCUCCCGAACGAGGUCGGCGGUGGAUCCCGAGAAGAUCCUCCAUAGGGUCACGGCGGCGCACGGCGCAGGGGCGGCCCUGAGGACUAGGGCGCUCGCGCUUAGGAUGUUCGGUUGCCUCGCUGACCAAGGCUGAAGGUUCAUAGAGAUGGAAGCACCCCUCAAUCCUCCAUCGCCAGUUGCGACUUAACCGGCACCGCCACACUCUCCUUCAGGGCCACCACAUGUGGCUUGCUGGAACUAGAUUGGGCAGGAAAGAAAUCCCCCCUUGCGCUCUUUGUUGUAGCUCUGUGUUAACUACUAAACAAGGCUACGGUAGGAUCAUUCUUCCUCAGCCUCCAUCUCGGGCAUGCCUCCCUCUUCAUGAGCAGACUCCACCUCAAUCACGCCUCCCUCUUUUUGAUCUUGAGUUCGCAUCCAUGCUCCGAGGGGUUUGAUCUUUGUUGUGUUGCCACAAAUCUUGCAGGUUGUGUUGCCACAAAUCUUGCAAGUUUGAGUGCCAUUUGUGUUCCUCUUAGAAGGAUUGAGGAUAUGCUAGCAGAGCAUUGGAUCUGGGCAUUACUAUUAUGUUUGAGAAAUCAAUUUCUCAGUGAUUACGCGCGGCAGCGAUGGUGAAAGUAUGUUCUGUAGCUCCUUCAUUGUCUGCAAAUACUAGACUUUUCAAUCUGAGCAGGUAGUUGAUUCACUCCUAAAUGCUACGAAGCCUUAUGGAAAACCUCAGAAUACUAUGAUACUAGAGCUUCCAUUGAUUUUACUAUUUUGCGUAUUUGGUAAAGUCAGUGUUAUGUGUUCACCAGGAUACAUCUCACACAGAUGACAUCAGAAGGUCCAAGUCAUUAUUUUGCUAUGUGAUCAGAGUUUUGAAUGAGCUGGCUGGCUCCAGAUUUGUAGUUCGCCGACUUGGUCACCCGGCGAGCCACCAACCGUUGUCCUCACGACGAGGUCCCAUUUGCACCUGGGAGUGGAUGUAGGGAGCUGGCCCAGAAGGCAAAAAGGAGGUGGAUUUGGGCUGCACUUGAAAUCUACAACCUUCAGCGUACCAGAACUGUGGCCACAUCAGAAGACCCAUAUCACCCCAGCUUGGAAGCCACCUCCUGAAGGUUUUAUAAAGGUUAACAUCGAUGCUUCCUUCAUUCCUAAAUCUGGGGUUGGUAGCGCUGGAGUGGUCGGGCGGGAUCACCUCGGUAGCGCCAUCUUCUCUGCAGCCUGUCCGACUAGACUGCAGAGCAUUGUGGUGGGAUCUGGACGCUGAUCAAUUCCAGGUCGCAUAACCUCUGCGCCUCAUUUCUAAUUGUCACUGUUGAUUUCCUAUAUAGACUUCUAAUAAUUAUUUUUUUAUGAAAUGGGGAGCUUGGCCCCAGCCUAGAUAAUGCUUCAUGUCGUGUGAACUUUCAUUAAGAAAAAGUUCAGAAGAUACUGAAGUUUUUUCAUCGAAUACAGUCUUUUAAUUA